Molecule: ribosomal RNA, 428 nt
Filed under: uncultured bacterium
Lineage: Bacteria
Description: partial 16S ribosomal RNA
Rfam family: Bacterial small subunit ribosomal RNA
Source: RNAcentral
GUGGGGAAUAUUGCGCAAUGGGGGAAACCCUGACGCAGCAACGCCGCGUGAUUGAAGAAGGCCUUCGGGUUGUAAAGAUCUUUAAUUGGGGACGAAAUAAAUGACGGUACCCAAAGAAUAAGCUCCGGCUAACUACGUGCCAGCAGCCGCGGUAAUACGUAGGGAGCAAGCGUUAUCCGGAUUUACUGGGUGUAAAGGGCGAGUAGGCGGGCCGACAAGUUGGGAGUGAAAUCCGGGGGCUUAACCCCCGAACUGCUUUCAAAACUGUUGGUCUUGAGUGAUGGAGAGGCAGGCGGAAUUCCCAGUGUAGCGGUGAAAUGCGUAGAUAUUGGGAGGAACACCAGUGGCGAAGGCGGCCUGCUGGACAUUAACUGACGCUGAGGCACGAAAGCGUGGGUAGCAAACAGGAUUAGAAACCCGGGUAGUCC